GCCAGUUUGGUCUAGUGGGUGAAGGCCUCAGGCUAGAAACCAGGAGGCUGUGAGUUCUAAUCCCACCAUAGGCA
This 74-nucleotide transfer RNA is filed under the name Ophiophagus hannah (king cobra). It matches the Rfam family "tRNA". From Rfam's summary of the family: Transfer RNA (tRNA) molecules are approximately 80 nucleotides in length. Lineage: Eukaryota; Metazoa; Chordata; Lepidosauria; Squamata; Elapidae. The record is from Rfam by way of RNAcentral.